Molecule: ribosomal RNA, 392 nt
Filed under: Chrysophyceae sp.
Lineage: Eukaryota; Chrysophyceae
Description: partial small subunit ribosomal RNA
Rfam family: Eukaryotic small subunit ribosomal RNA
Source: RNAcentral
AUUCCAGCUCCAAUAGCGUAUACUUAAGUUGUUGCAGUUAAAAAGCUCGUAGUUGAAUUUCUGGUCGUGAAAAGUGGUCCGUUCCGCAAGGAAUGUGUACUGUCUAUUCAUGUCCAUCCUCGGAGUUAGUGUGUAUUACUUUAAUCGGUCGUGCAUGCAAUACUUCGUCAUUUACUGUGAGCAAAAUAGAGUGUUCAAAGCAGGCUUAUGCCGUUGAAUAUAUUAGCAUGGAAUAAUAAGAUAUGACUUUGGUCUAUUUUGUUGGUUUGCACUCCAAAGUAAUGAUUAAUAGGGAUAGUUGGGGGUAUUCGUAUUCAAUUGUCAGAGGUGAAAUUCUUGGAUUUAUGGAAGACGAACUACUGCGAAAGCAUUUACCAAGGAUGUUUUCAUCA